Molecule: transfer RNA, 85 nt
Filed under: Candidatus Hydrogenedens sp.
Lineage: Bacteria; Pseudomonadati; Candidatus Hydrogenedentota; Candidatus Hydrogenedentia; Candidatus Hydrogenedentales; Candidatus Hydrogenedentaceae
Description: tRNA-Leu
Rfam family: tRNA
About the family: Transfer RNA (tRNA) molecules are approximately 80 nucleotides in length. Their secondary structure includes four short double-helical elements and three loops (D, anti-codon, and T loops).
Source: RNAcentral
GGGCGAGUGGCGGAAUUGGCAGACGCGCUGGACUUAGGAUCCAGUAUCGUAAGAUGUGCGGGUUCAAGUCCCGCCUCGCCCACCA